UCCAGGGUGCCAGAGUGGUAAUGGCGUCGAUUGCUAAUCGAUAAUCGGAGGUUCGAUCCCUUCCCCUGGAGCCA
Molecule: transfer RNA, 74 nt
Filed under: Parcubacteria group bacterium
Lineage: Bacteria
Description: tRNA-Ser
Rfam family: tRNA
About the family: Transfer RNA (tRNA) molecules are approximately 80 nucleotides in length. Their secondary structure includes four short double-helical elements and three loops (D, anti-codon, and T loops).
Source: RNAcentral